Molecule: non-coding RNA, 461 nt
Organism: Nicotiana tabacum (common tobacco)
Lineage: Eukaryota; Viridiplantae; Streptophyta; Magnoliopsida; Solanales; Solanaceae
Source: RefSeq, a predicted model, not a curated record
UAUUAUUAAAUUUCAAAAAAAAAGGUAUCAUUAGUUAUUAGUAAUUAAAAAAAGAAGGAAAAAGGCUUAAAAGCCCAUAAGAAGGGCUGUUGGAAACAAAAGCCUCCAAACCUUAAAAGAGAGGCAGAACGUUAUCAGAAUGACGGAAAGCAAAAGCUAAAAAAAAAAAAUAGAAUCGUUCGCUCACGAAACAGAGACUUCGUUUAUCACACAGGCAACGGAAAAAUCUAGGGUUUCUUACAAAUCACUAAUUCUUGAACUCAGAAACGAUUGUUUGACAGGUAUAAAUUGGACUGGAGUCUACAUAUUGGCCCAAGGAGUAUUGAGGAACCGGAUUUGCAGGCGAGCAGGCUACGAGUUAGGACUUCCUUCCCUUCCAGUGAUAUUGGUGAGCUCCGCUUUUGUUCGUGGAGUAUUCUUAGAGUCAUUUUCAUUUAGCUAUUUCUUUGUUUAUCUAGAGA